This 301-nucleotide long non-coding RNA is filed under the name Homo sapiens (human). RNAcentral describes it as "non-protein coding lnc-RAB20-3:4". Lineage: Eukaryota; Metazoa; Chordata; Mammalia; Primates; Hominidae. The record is from RNAcentral.
UCUUGCAAAUAUGUUCCACACGAUGGAUUUUAACUUUGUUUCCAGGUAUAGCUGUGGACCAACUGUAUAUGAUCAUGCGCACCUUGGCCAUGCUUGCUCAUAUGUUAGAUUUGAUAUCAUUCGAAGGAUCCUAACCAAGGUUUUUGGAUGCAGCAUAGUCAUGGUGAUGGGUAUUACAGAUGUAGAUGAUAAAAUCAUCAAAAGAGCCAAUGAGGUAAGUGGAGAAGAGUUACAUCUAUUGAUAAUGCCAUUGAUUAGUGUUCUGAGCCCUUCCUGAAAGUGGUUCUUGGCCGGGCGUGGU